This 500-nucleotide ribosomal RNA is filed under the name uncultured bacterium. Its description in RNAcentral is "partial 16S ribosomal RNA". It matches the Rfam family "Bacterial small subunit ribosomal RNA", at positions 29 to 523 of the family's 1533-position model. The record is from RNAcentral.
AUUGAACGCUGGCGGCAUGCCUUACACAUGCAAGUCGAACGGCAGCACGGGCGCAAUCCUGGUGGCGAGUGGCGAACGGGUGAGCAAAGUAUCGGAACGUGCCCAGUCGGGGGGGAUAACGUAGCGAAAGUUACGCUAAUACCGCAACCGAUCUCUGGAUGAAAGAGGGGGAUCGCAAGACUCCGGGCGAUGGGAGCGGCGGAUAUCGAAUUAGGAAGUUGGUGGGGUAAAGGCUCACCAAGCCGACGAUCUGUAGCUGGUCUGAGAGGACGACCAGCCACACUGGGACUGAGACACGGCCCAGACUCCUACGGGAGGCAGCAGUGGGGAAUUUUGGACAAUGGGCGAAAGCCUGAUCCAGCCAUGCCGCGUGCAGGAUGAAGGCCUUCGGGUUGUAAACUGCUUUUGUACGGAACGAAAAGGUUUGGCCUAAUAAGCUGAGCUCAUGACGGUACCGUAAGAAUAAGCACCGGCUAACUACGUGCCAGCCGCCGCGGUAA